Long non-coding RNA from Mirounga angustirostris (Northern elephant seal), 1043 nucleotides. RefSeq lists it as uncharacterized. The record is from RefSeq and is a predicted model, not a curated record. Lineage: Eukaryota; Metazoa; Chordata; Mammalia; Carnivora; Phocidae. The transcript has 4 exons.
CGCUGGGGCUGAGGGAGCGGGGCGCACGCGCAGGGGCGUCACGGGGUACGUCCGAAGCGUGGCCAGUUGGAGAAACCGAGCCGUGCUCUCAGUUUUGAGAGUGGUCGGAGCCGAGGAGGGAGCGUGGUGUCUGGGGCGCUGCGGACAGAGAGCGUAGCGUGCCGCUCCGGCGUGGGGGUGGUGACGGCUGCGGGACCAAGGGAGGAGCGAGCGCCUCGCCCAGUUCUCGGGGUGAGGCCGCAGUGGGGGUCGCCGCCGCGGAGUUUUGGAGCUGUUGGUCUUUACCAGUGGUGAAUCGCCUCUUAAAUAGAAGAAUGGUAGUGGUGUUUAGGCAUAUUACACUUCUUCUUUGGAAGAAUUUUGCUUUAAAAAAAGCAUCUUAGGGGGAAGAGCUGAUUGGAGCAAAAGUGAACUACUGGGACCUUAUCAAGAUAAAAAGUUUCUGCACAGCAAAGGAAACAAGCAACAAAACCAAAAGCCAGCCUACAGAAUGGGAGAUGAUACUUGAAAAUGGCAUAUCUGAUAAAGGCCCCCUAAAGCAUGAGCUCCAAGGGACGGUCCAUUACCACAUACCUAGCAAGGACUUUACCUGAGGAAAGGUGAGUGUGGUACCAGGCCCUCCUAAAGCCACAGGAGGUGUUUUGACCUUAGAGUUGGUGGAUGAUAUGAAGCAUUCAAAUUCAGGCAUCUGAGAUAUUUCAGACAAACCUGGCUCCAUCAGAGACCAUUUCUAUUUUUCCCUUUCUUGGGUACUGUGUAAAGCCGAUACAGUUUCUUUCCAGCUCUUACCAUAGUAGUUUUAUAGAACAUGGCUUAAGACUAAAUUAUUUUGGCUUCUUAGGAGUUACUUGUAAUUUGAGGGCAUAGAUAGAUGAGUUCUGUUUCAGCAGGUGUGAGGUUUAUAAAUUCACAGUAUCCUGGGAAGCUGACAUUAACAGGGGUAGACGGGCAAAACAUUUCUUCUCUAACUGGGAUUUAUUAGCUUCACAGGAAGUCUCCAGGUCCAUGCAAGGUGGGAGUAAACAGAGCCUUUUCCCCCUUCU